UACGUAGGGUCCGAGCGUUGUCCGGAAUUAUUGGGCGUAAAGAGCUCGUAGGCGGUUUGUCGCGUCUGCUGUGAAAUCCCGAGGCUCAACCUCGGGUCUGCAGUGGGUACGGGCAGGCUGGAGUGCGGUAGGGGAGAAUGGAAUUCCUGGUGUAGCGGUGGAAUGCGCAGAUAUCAGGAGGAACACCGAUGGCGAAGGCAGUUCUCUGGGCCGUAACUGACGCUGAGGAGCGAAAGCGUGGGGAGCGAACAGG
This 253-nucleotide ribosomal RNA is filed under the name uncultured bacterium. RNAcentral describes it as "partial 16S ribosomal RNA". It matches the Rfam family "Bacterial small subunit ribosomal RNA", at positions 524 to 776 of the family's 1533-position model. The record is from RNAcentral.